AACGCAAGUUGCGCCCGAGGCUUCUGGCCAAGGGCACGUCUGUCUGGGCGUCACGCAUCGCAACCCCCCACAACCACUUCGGUAGUUGAGGGGAGGAGGAUGGUUUCCCGUGCCUCACCGGGCGCGGUUGGCCUAAAUAAGGAGCCUAAGGCAUCGGGUUGCCGCGGCGAUAGGUGGAGUACAAGGUCUCGGCCGUGGAAUCAACCGGUCGCGCAACCCUUUGAAUGUAAAGCUCGAAGGACCCAUUGUUGUCGCUUUGUUGCGUCACAAACGUUGCGACCCCAAGUCAGGCGGGGCUACCCGCUGAAUUUAA
This 313-nucleotide unclassified non-coding RNA is filed under the name Monodictys sp. RNAcentral's name for it is "partial contains 5.8S ribosomal RNA, internal transcribed spacer 2, and large subunit ribosomal RNA". Lineage: Eukaryota; Fungi; Ascomycota; Dothideomycetes; Pleosporales. The record is from RNAcentral.